RNAcentral lists this ribosomal RNA (497 nucleotides) under uncultured bacterium. RNAcentral describes it as "partial 16S ribosomal RNA". It matches the Rfam family "Bacterial small subunit ribosomal RNA", at positions 28 to 507 of the family's 1533-position model. The record is from RNAcentral.
GAUGAACGCUGGCGGCGUGCCUAAUACAUGCAAGUCGAGCGAACAGAUAAGGAGCUUGCUCCUUUGACGUUAGCGGCGGACGGGUGAGUAACACGUGGGUAACCUACCUAUAAGACUGGGAUAACUCCGGGAAACCGGGGCUAAUGCCGGAUAACAUUUAGAACCGCAUGGUUCUAAAGUGAAAGAUGGUUUUGCUAUCACUUAUAGAUGGACCCGCGCCGUAUUAGCUAGUUGGUAAGGUAACGGCUUACCAAGGCAACGAUACGUAGCCGACCUGAGAGGGUGAUCGGCCACACUGGAACUGAGACACGGUCCAGACUCCUACGGGAGGCAGCAGUAGGGAAUCUUCCGCAAUGGGCGAAAGCCUGACGGAGCAACGCCGCGUGAGUGAUGAAGGUCUUCGGAUCGUAAAACUCUGUUAUUAGGGAAGAACAAAUGUGUAAGUAACUGUGCACGUCUUGACGGUACCCAAUCAGAAAGCCACGGCUAACUACGUG